AAUGAACGCUGGCGGCAGGCCUAACACAUGCAAGUCGAGCGGACACAUCGGGGUUAGCCGCGGAUGGGUGUGUAACCCGUGGGGAUAUGCCCUUCUCUAUGGCCUAGUCCUGGGACACUGGGGGUAAUACCGUAUCCGCCCUAUGAGGGGAAGAUAUAUCGGGGAAGGAUUAGCCCGCGUUGGAUUAGGUUGUUGGUGGGGUAAUGGCCUACCAAGCGGACGAUCCAUAGCUGGGUACAGAGGAUGGUCAGCGACACUGGGACGGAGACACGGCCCGGAAUCCUACGGGAGGGGGGAGAGGGGAAUCGUAGACAAUCGGGGGAGCGAUGAACGUCCCAGGCCGGGAAAGUGAUGAAGGCCGGGAGGAUGUAAAGCGCUUUCAGCUGGGAAGGUAAUGACGGUACCAGCAGAAGAAGCCCCGGCUAACUCCGUG
This 433-nucleotide ribosomal RNA is filed under the name uncultured bacterium. RNAcentral's name for it is "partial 16S ribosomal RNA". It matches the Rfam family "Bacterial small subunit ribosomal RNA", at positions 29 to 507 of the family's 1533-position model. The record is from RNAcentral.